This 577-nucleotide long non-coding RNA is filed under the name Setaria italica (foxtail millet). RNAcentral's name for it is "long non-coding RNA (SITA_LNC003827)". Lineage: Eukaryota; Viridiplantae; Streptophyta; Magnoliopsida; Poales; Poaceae. The record is from RNAcentral.
CCGCUCUCAUCUCUUCUGGAAGUUGAACUUCAUGAUAGCGAAACUAAAAAGGAACGCGAAGAAAAAGGCCAGGGCAACGUGCACCACUGCCACGACCCACAGGAAGUCGUGACGGAAGCCAAAGUAAUCUGUGAUGAACUGCGCCACGGUUUUUUUCUGACCCCCAACCCCAACUUCGAUUUCAUGUUGGAUGUCACCAAACUGGGAGGCGACCAAUCCAUACAGCGUCCACGCGACCGGGCAGACCCAGCUGUACCACCUCCACCAGACAGGAAUUCUCUGAAGAAAAAGUCGAGUGCGCAGUGAGUCAUACGAAAAUUGGCAAAGUGCCAAACUCUACAAACAGUAAGGAGUGAAAAAAAAAAGGAAAAUGCAAAGCCAACAGGUGAAUGACUUACAGGUCGAGGGAUCAGAUAUCCUGAGAAGAGGUUCCACACGUUAUAGAACGCUGAUGAGAUGAUAGCCGCUAUGCUUUCAUUCGGAGUCAAACCAACCGCCAUCAUCCCAUAGAACGUGAAGUAGAGCAGCGUAAAGUACAUGAAGAACAGGUACCAGAGGAACUUGGCAACAGUCCACU